Molecule: ribosomal RNA, 1377 nt
Filed under: Lactiplantibacillus plantarum
Lineage: Bacteria; Bacillati; Bacillota; Bacilli; Lactobacillales; Lactobacillaceae
Description: Lactobacillus plantarum 16S ribosomal RNA
Rfam family: Bacterial small subunit ribosomal RNA
Source: RNAcentral
AAUACCGCAUAACAACUUGGACCGCAUGGUCCGAGUUUGAAAGAUGGCUUCGGCUAUCACUUUUGGAUGGUCCCGCGGCGUAUUAGCUAGAUGGUGGGGUAACGGCUCACCAUGGCAAUGAUACGUAGCCGACCUGAGAGGGUAAUCGGCCACAUUGGGACUGAGACACGGCCCAAACUCCUACGGGAGGCAGCAGUAGGGAAUCUUCCACAAUGGACGAAAGUCUGAUGGAGCAACGCCGCGUGAGUGAAGAAGGGUUUCGGCUCGUAAAACUCUGUUGUUAAAGAAGAACAUAUCUGAGAGUAACUGUUCAGGUAUUGACGGUAUUUAACCAGAAAGCCACGGCUAACUACGUGCCAGCAGCCGCGGUAAUACGUAGGUGGCAAGCGUUGUCCGGAUUUAUUGGGCGUAAAGCGAGCGCAGGCGGUUUUUUAAGUCUGAUGUGAAAGCCUUCGGCUCAACCGAAGAAGUGCAUCGGAAACUGGGAAACUUGAGUGCAGAAGAGGACAGUGGAACUCCAUGUGUAGCGGUGAAAUGCGUAGAUAUAUGGAAGAACACCAGUGGCGAAGGCGGCUGUCUGGUCUGUAACUGACGCUGAGGCUCGAAAGUAUGGGUAGCAAACAGGAUUAGAUACCCUGGUAGUCCAUACCGUAAACGAUGAAUGCUAAGUGUUGGAGGGUUUCCGCCCUUCAGUGCUGCAGCUAACGCAUUAAGCAUUCCGCCUGGGGAGUACGGCCGCAAGGCUGAAACUCAAAGGAAUUGACGGGGGCCCGCACAAGCGGUGGAGCAUGUGGUUUAAUUCGAAGCUACGCGAAGAACCUUACCAGGUCUUGACAUACUAUGCAAAUCUAAGAGAUUAGACGUUCCCUUCGGGGACAUGGAUACAGGUGGUGCAUGGUUGUCGUCAGCUCGUGUCGUGAGAUGUUGGGUUAAGUCCCGCAACGAGCGCAACCCUUAUUAUCAGUUGCCAGCAUUAAGUUGGGCACUCUGGUGAGACUGCCGGUGACAAACCGGAGGAAGGUGGGGAUGACGUCAAAUCAUCAUGCCCCUUAUGACCUGGGCUACACACGUGCUACAAUGGAUGGUACAACGAGUUGCGAACUCGCGAGAGUAAGCUAAUCUCUUAAAGCCAUUCUCAGUUCGGAUUGUAGGCUGCAACUCGCCUACAUGAAGUCGGAAUCGCUAGUAAUCGCGGAUCAGCAUGCCGCGGUGAAUACGUUCCCGGGCCUUGUACACACCGCCCGUCACACCAUGAGAGUUUGUAACACCCAAAGUCGGUGGGGUAACCUUUUAGGAACCAGCCGCCUAAGGUGGGACAGAUGAUUAGGGUGAAGUCGUAACAAGGUAGCCGUAGGAGAACCUGCGGCUGGAUCACCU